Molecule: transfer RNA, 71 nt
Filed under: Asicimbex sp. CSCS-Hym-MC0132
Lineage: Eukaryota; Metazoa; Arthropoda; Insecta; Hymenoptera; Cimbicidae
Description: tRNA-Ser
Source: RNAcentral
AAUCAAUGAACUUGAAAUAAGUAUAUGUUUUGAAAACAUAUAAAAAAAGUAUUUAAACCUUUUAUUGAUUU